RNAcentral lists this ribosomal RNA (1688 nucleotides) under human metagenome. Its description in RNAcentral is "bacterial LSU rRNA". It matches the Rfam family "Bacterial large subunit ribosomal RNA", at positions 1136 to 2654 of the family's 2925-position model. The record is from RNAcentral.
AAUAGCUCACUGGUCAAGUGGUUCUGCGCCGACAAUGUAGCGGGGCUCAAGCGCACCGCCGAAGCCGUGGCAGCAGCGCUUUUCGCCCUCCUCCCCCCUUUUGGAUGGGGUGGUGGGUGCGCUGCUGGGUAGGGGAGCGUCCUGCGCGGGGCGAAGCCCGGGGGUGACCCCUGGUGGACCGCGUGGGAGUGAGAAUGCAGGCAUGAGUAACGAAUUCUGCGGUGGGAAUCCGCAGCGCCGAUUGACUAAGGGUUCCAGGGCCAGGUUCAUCCGCCCUGGGUUAGUCGGGUCCUAAGGCGAGGCCGACAGGCGUAGUCGAUGGUCGACCAGUUGAUAUUCUGGUACCGCGCGGCGACCGCCAGUGCCGAUACCGCUGUGCUAACCGCCCGCACCGCCCUCUCCUGCGCUUUCGGGCGCGGGGGUGGGGGGUGUCGCGGGGCCCCGGUGGUGGAGGCAAGCGUGUUGACAGGGGUGACGCAGGAAGGUAGCCGCAAUGCGCCGGUGGUUGUGCGUAUUCAAGGCUGUGGCCCGUCCCCCAGGCAAAUCCGGGGGGCAUGUGGGUGAGGGCUGAGGAGGGACACACGCGUGUGUGGACUUGUGGUGAUCCUAUGCUGCCGAGAAAAACCCCGACGUGAGGGCGCCGCGCGCCCGUACCCCAAACCGACUCAGGUGGUCAGGUAGAGCAUACCGAGGCGUUCGAGUGAAUCAUGGUUAAGGAACUCGGCAAAAUUCCUCCGUAACUUCGGGAUAAGGAGGACCCCUUGGCCUGAUCCCGCCGCGCGCGGGGGCGGGGCCGGGGGGUCGCAGAGAAUAGGGAGAAGCGACUGUUUAUCAAAAACACAGGUGCGUGCGAAGCCGCAAGGCGAUGUAUACGCACUGACGCCUGCCCGGUGCUGGAAGGUCAAGAGGAGCCCUCAGCCCCCCCAGUGGGGGCGAAGGGGCGAAUUCAAGCCCCAGUAAACGGCGGUGGUAACUAUAACCAUCCUAAGGUAGCGAAAUUCCUUGUCGGGUAAGUUCCGACCUGCACGAAUGGCGUAACGACUUCUCCGCUGUCUCAACCGUGAACUCGGUGAAAUUGCAGUACGAGUAAAGAUGCUCGUUUCGCGCAGAAGGACGGAAAGACCCCGGGACCUUUACUAUAGCUUGGUAUUGGCGCCCGCUAUAGCUUGUGCAGGAUAGGUGGGAGACGUUGAAGCCGUUACGCCAGUAGCGGUGGAGUCGUCCUUGAAAUACCACUCUGGUUAUGGCGUGCGCCUGAACCUGGGCCCGUGAUCCGGGUCAGGGACAGUGCCUGGUGGGUAGUUUAACUGGGGCGGUUGCCUCCUAAAAGGUAACGGAGGCGCUCAAAGGUCCCCUCAGCCUGGUUGGCAAUCAGGUGGCGAGUGCAAGUGCACAAGGGGGCUUGACUGUGAGACCGACGGGUCGAGCAGGUGCGAAAGCAGGAACUAGUGAUCCGGCCAUGGCACGUGGGUGCGUGGUCGCUCAACGGAUAAAAGGUACCCCGGGGAUAACAGGCUGAUCUUGCCCAAGAGUCCAUAUCGACGGCAUGGUUUGGCACCUCGAUGUCGGCUCGUCGCAUCCUGGGGCUGGAGUAGGUCCCAAGGGUUGGGCUGUUCGCCCAUUAAAGCGGCACGCGAGCUGGGUUUAGAACGUCGUGAGACAGUUCGGUCUCUAUCCGCCGCGCGCGU